RNAcentral lists this transfer RNA (98 nucleotides) under Penicillium vulpinum. It matches the Rfam family "tRNA". Rfam says of the family: Transfer RNA (tRNA) molecules are approximately 80 nucleotides in length. Their secondary structure includes four short double-helical elements and three loops (D, anti-codon, and T loops). The record is from Rfam by way of RNAcentral. Lineage: Eukaryota; Fungi; Ascomycota; Eurotiomycetes; Eurotiales; Aspergillaceae.
UUCGAUAUGGGGUAGUGGUUAACCUAGCGGAUUUUCAGUAUCUCUCUUUAUAGAGCAUCUUUACUCCGCGGCCCCGGGUUCGAUUCCCGGUAUCGAAG